RNAcentral lists this ribosomal RNA (200 nucleotides) under uncultured prokaryote. RNAcentral describes it as "partial 16S ribosomal RNA". It matches the Rfam family "Bacterial small subunit ribosomal RNA", at positions 1184 to 1382 of the family's 1533-position model. The record is from RNAcentral.
GUCAAGUCAUCAUGGCCCUUAUGUCCAGGGCUACACACGUGCUACAAUGGGCGGUACAAAGUGACGCGAAGCCGUGAGGCGGGAGCGAAUCACCGAAAGCCGUCCGUAGUUCGGAUUGAAGUCUGAAACCCGACUUCAUGAAGUUGGAAUCGCUAGUAAUCGCGCAUCAGCAUGGCGCGGUGAAUACGUUCCCGGGCCUU